UCCGGGGUAAUAAUAAGCAGAUUCUGAUUACAGCGUCCAGUGAGCAGCUACUAGUCAGAUGGAUAAUAGGUGCAAUAUAAAUGAAUUAUUAUUAUUAACACCCAGGUUCUAUUCCCCACUUGGUUUCACAUGAUAUUGUGGAGAUAUUGCAAAAAGUGGCAUAAAACCUUAUUCACUCACUCAUUUAUGAACUAUGGACAUUUCUGGGAUGGUCAUAAUGUUAAACAACAAACUAACCAACCAAUCAAUAACCAGGUGAACAUAGGUUUAGGAUCGAGGACUAAGAUUGGGCUCAGUUCAAUAAAAGAAAAUAUAUAUUUUAUUUUGGCCUUUCAGUUUUAUGUUAGAAUUAGAAAGUGUUCUUGUAUAACAGGUGUUGUAAAACAAGGCCUGAGACGGUUGAAGCCUGUAUUAAGUUAUCUAAACAAGAGGGGUUUAUAUUGAUGUACUUAUCAACACCAUCAGUAUCAAAUGUUAGCCACAGACAAUUCCUUGUUUCAGAUUUAGUGCGUUUUUAUAUGAAAAAAGAUAACCAGAAUAUAUUUACAAAUUCUGUUUCAAUCUAUAUACUUUGAAUUAUGCAAGAAAUGUAUUUGUUAGAGUACAACAUUAUUUUGUGUCUUACCUUUAUUCCAUUGUCCUUGUCAUGUCAAAGGGAAGAAUAUUUUAUAGAAUUUGGUACAAUUUUUUAGAAAAAAAACCAAGAGGUCAAAAAUGUUUGUUUUCCUUGCAAACACUUCCCAGUUGAUAUGUGAUCUCUCAUUUCUAUGAAAUGAAUCGGACAUGCUAGCACUUGUAAGAAACCACCCUUACCUAUACCAAUCUUUGAUAUGUUUGUGUUCACAUUAGUUGCAUGUAUAUGUAAAUGCCAGUACCAAAUGUCAUCUGCUGCUUCCAAGACAAAGCAGUUCCCUGCGGGUGAAGGAAAUAGCUGUUCAAAAUGGCUGGCUGUUCAUCAUGUCAAGGUCAGUCAUAUUCAUUCAGAUACGUAGGAAUUCAGUCUAACAUUUCUGGGUUUGCCACCACUUUACAAGUGCUUAUGGGGUUUUCCAGGUUGUUAAUGCUUUCUGACCUGCAUCACUUCAGGCUCCUCUCAAUAUCAAGCCAGGGAAGGGGGGGUAGUCUAGUGGUUAAAGCAUCUGCUCGUCACGCCCAAGUCCCGGGUUCAAUUUGGGUACAGUGUGUGAAGCCCAUUUCUGGUGUCCCCCGCCGUGAUAUUGCUGGAAUAUUGUAAAAGUGGCAUAAACCAUACUCACUCACUCAAGCCCAAAAUCACUGAUCAGACUGGAAUGCUGUGUGAAGUUGAGUUGGGCUUUACGUCACAUCUGCAUUAUUCAAGCAAUAUAGUGACGAGGAGUAACGUCAUGCUGACCUCAAUGAAGUUAUGUCACCUUGUAUCAUACUGGAGCCUUCCAAUAGAUAUAUAUAUAUCAUAUCAUGACAAUGUGUGGCAGACAUCAAAGAUGAUGAUGAUGAGAAUUAAAAGUCCAAUGUUUUCUGUUCAAGUCUAAGGUUCUUUGUCCAAAUGAUUACCAAUCCUUGACAAGGGAUAGACUAGGAGGAGUCUGGCAUAUAUAUUCAUAUUUUUUCAUAUUUUUUAUUUAUUUACUUGUGCCUCUGUACAUAUUCUGUCUUGUGAUGGUUGUGUUCGCAACACUUAAUGCUUCUGUACAAUUAGAGAUCAUUCCAGCUUGGGCAUUGUGUUGAUGUUUAUAACUGCAUGGGAGUUGAACAAGAUAACUGAAUUGUGAUCACGUUAUGUAGACAUGUUUUAAUAAAAUCUGUGAGUAAACUUU
Long non-coding RNA from Haliotis rubra (blacklip abalone), 1796 nucleotides. RefSeq lists it as uncharacterized. The record is from RefSeq and is a predicted model, not a curated record. The transcript has 2 exons. Lineage: Eukaryota; Metazoa; Mollusca; Gastropoda; Lepetellida; Haliotidae.